This 76-nucleotide transfer RNA is filed under the name Lysobacterales bacterium. RNAcentral describes it as "Xanthomonadales bacterium tRNA-Thr". It matches the Rfam family "tRNA". Rfam says of the family: Transfer RNA (tRNA) molecules are approximately 80 nucleotides in length. RNAcentral also lists the same sequence under 3 other names. Lineage: Bacteria; Pseudomonadati; Pseudomonadota; Gammaproteobacteria; Lysobacterales. The record is from RNAcentral.
GCCGGAGUAGCUCAGCUGGUAGAGCAGCGCAUUCGUAAUGCGCGGGUCGGGGGUUCGAGUCCCUCCUCCGGCACCA